AUCAUCUGCAGCAAGAUGGGAAGAGGUGCAGUGUAUAUGAUGUAGAACUGAUUUCAUGAUUGCCUGGUGUUGUAAGCAAAAGACAGCUUUGAGUUCACAGGUGUUUUUUCAUAUGUGAAAGAAAACCCAAUGCUUCUGAAGACCAUUCUGAGUAAACUAUUUGGUAGGAUAUGGAAUGAUGUAGGAAUAAUCUAGAAAAGCAGUAACUUGAGCUUCUAACUGCCCUUGAAGCUACAGAGGGAAGUAACUGGGUUGGAAGAAUCUACUGGCAGGGUCUUCCUGACUUUGUGUGACCUUGAGAAAGUCUCCUAAGAUAUCUCCUCUCAGCUUCCUUAAUUUUUAAUUGAGAGACUGAUACACCCCUGCCUUACAUUAUGUGCACUGGCACAGCCAUCUUCAUUGUGUUCAGUGUGUCCACCUGGGACAGUGUGAGCAGCGAGCAGUGG
This is a long non-coding RNA of Vidua chalybeata, 446 nucleotides long. RefSeq lists it as uncharacterized. The record is from RefSeq and is a predicted model, not a curated record. The transcript is spliced from 4 exons. NCBI's taxonomy places the organism in Eukaryota, Metazoa, Chordata, Aves, Passeriformes, Viduidae.